This 253-nucleotide ribosomal RNA is filed under the name uncultured bacterium. RNAcentral's name for it is "partial 16S ribosomal RNA". It matches the Rfam family "Bacterial small subunit ribosomal RNA", at positions 524 to 776 of the family's 1533-position model. The record is from RNAcentral.
UACGUAGGGUGCGAGCGUUGUCCGGAAUUACUGGGCGUAAAGGGCUCGUAGGCGGCCAACUAAGUCGGAUGUGAAAUCCCCAGGCUCAACUUGGGAACUGCAUCCGAUACUGGAUGGCUUGAAUCCGGGAGAGGGAUGCAGAAUUCCAGGUGUAGCGGUGAAAUGCGUAGAUAUCUGGAGGAAUACCGGUGGCGAAGGCGGCAUCCUGGACCGGCAUUGACGCUGAUGAGCGAAAGCUAGGGGAGCAAACGGG